This is a long non-coding RNA of Pogoniulus pusillus (Red-fronted tinkerbird), 527 nucleotides long. RefSeq lists it as uncharacterized. The transcript has 5 exons. The record is from RefSeq and is a predicted model, not a curated record. Lineage: Eukaryota; Metazoa; Chordata; Aves; Piciformes; Lybiidae.
GAUGCUCUUCAGUGGUUUAAAUUCGAAGUGUCAGUGCAGCAGUGGAAGGCUUGGUGAUCAUGGUCUCCUCUGAAGCAUGAAGCUGGCCUCUAUGAUGCAGCAGGUGUGAGAGCCAUCUGGCUGAGACUGGACAAGGGCUGGCAUGAGAGCAGAAGACAUUCGAGCAGUCAGAACCCCUGCGUAUUUUACACUGCUGAACAGCUGUCUGCCAACAUCUGGAGCCACAUCACGGAUCUGUCAUCUGGCUGCAGCACUGGAAGGGGAAACGAAUGUGCUCCUUCAAGCAGCAGUUGUGACAGGUCCCCCCAAGAAAUGCCUCGAAUGACAGUCAGUGCAAGUCCUCUUUUCAGGAUCUACUUGUCAGCAAGACUCUGGUGGUAUAUGCUGGCUGCGCUUUGAAUGAGGGAGCUGCAUCGCACAGGAUGUCCUUGGCAGGAGUGGACAUGAUGCCUCUGAAAUACAUUUCAGGCAUGCCACAGAUACAAGGUUGACCUCCUCUUGGUGAGUUUGCUGGAAAAAGGAACAAA